CUUGCAGGGUGGAUUAGUGGCGAACGGGUGAGUAACACGUGAGUAACCUGCCCCCGACUCUGGGAUAAGCCCGGGAAACUGGGUCUAAUACCGGAUAUGACUUCCUACUGCAUGGUGGGUUGUUGAAAGAUUUAUCGGUGGGGGAUGGACUCGCGGCCUAUCAGCUUGUUGGUGAGGUAAUGGCUCACCAAGGCGACGACGGGUAGCCGGCCUGAGAGGGUGACCGGCCACACUGGGACUGAGACACGGCCCAGACUCCUACGGGAGGCAGCAGUGGGGAAUAUUGCACAAUGGGCGGAAGCCUGAUGCAGCGACGCCGCGUGAGGGAUGACGGCCUUCGGGUUGUAAACCUCUUUCAGUAGGGAAGAAGCGAAAGUGACGGUACCUGCAGAAGAAGCGCCGGCUAACUACGUGCCAGCAGCCGCGGUAAUACGUAGGGCGCAAGCGUUAUCCGGAUUUAUUGGGCGUAAAGAGCUCGUAGGCGGUUUGUCGCGUCUGCCGUGAAAGUCCGAGGCUCAACCUCGGAUCUGCGGUGGGUACGGGCAGACUAGAGUGAUGUAGGGGAGACUGGAAUUCCUGGUGUAGCGGUGAAAUGCGCAGAUAUCAGGAGGAACACCGAUGGCGAAGGCAGGUCUCUGGGCAUUUACUGACGCUGAGGAGCGAAAGCAUGGGGAGCGAACAGGAUUAGAUACCCUGGUAGUCCAUGCCGUAAACGUUGGGCACUAGGUGUGGGGGACAUUCCACGUUUUCCGCGCCGUAGCUAACGCAUUAAGUGCCCCGCCUGGGGAGUACGGCCGCAAGGCUAAAACUCAAAGGAAUUGACGGGGGCCCGCACAAGCGGCGGAGCAUGCGGAUUAAUUCGAUGCAACGCGAAGAACCUUACCAAGGCUUGACAUGUGCCAGACCGCUCCAGAGAUGGGUUUCCCUUCGGGGCUGGUUCACAGGUGGUGCAU
This 953-nucleotide ribosomal RNA is filed under the name Glutamicibacter nicotianae. Its description in RNAcentral is "bacterial SSU rRNA". It matches the Rfam family "Bacterial small subunit ribosomal RNA", at positions 79 to 1046 of the family's 1533-position model. The record is from RNAcentral. Lineage: Bacteria; Bacillati; Actinomycetota; Actinomycetes; Micrococcales; Micrococcaceae.